Molecule: ribosomal RNA, 464 nt
Filed under: uncultured bacterium
Lineage: Bacteria
Description: bacterial SSU rRNA
Rfam family: Bacterial small subunit ribosomal RNA
Source: RNAcentral
CUGACGAUGCUUACCAUGCAAGUCAAUCGAACUUCAGUUUGGGUGGCGGACGGGUGAGUAACGCGUAAAGAAGUUGCCUUACAGUCUGGGACAACAUGUUGGAAACGGAGAUGCUAAUACUGGAUAUUAUGUUUUUUUCGCAUGAAGGAGAGAUGAAAGCUAUGAGGCGCUGUAAGAGAGCUUUGCGUCCCAUUAGCUAGGUGGAGAGGUAACGGCUCAGCAAGGCGAUGAUGGGUAGCCGGCCUGAGAGGGUGAACAGCCACAAAGGGGACUGAGACGCGGCCCUUACUCCUACGGGAGGCAACUGUGGGGAAUAUUGGACAAUGGACCAAGAGUCUGAUCCAGCAAUUCUGUGUGCACGAUGAAGUUUUUCGGAAUGUAAAAGUGCUUUCGAUUGGGAAGAAGAAAGUGACGGUACCAACAGAGGAAGCGACGGCUAAAUACGUGCCAGCAGCCGCGGUAAU